This is a long non-coding RNA of Mastomys coucha (southern multimammate mouse), 1219 nucleotides long. RefSeq lists it as uncharacterized. Lineage: Eukaryota; Metazoa; Chordata; Mammalia; Rodentia; Muridae. The transcript is spliced from 3 exons. The record is from RefSeq and is a predicted model, not a curated record.
CUCCGCAGAUAGAAGGGGAUGGAACGCGGCGGGGAGCGGAGGGACGAGGACAAUGCGAACGCUCACGGCGCGCAGCACGUGCUCGAGGGCCCCCAGAAGCUUGACUCUGGGGGCUGGGACUCGCGGCCCACGGGGAGAGGGUGUUCUCGUGAACUUUCAUGAGGUUCUCUUUGGGGAUGACACCCGGGCCCCGAUGGGGGCAGCAACCCCGGGGGAGGGGUCCUGGGAAUGAAUCGUAGCCCAGCGCUUGGCCUUGAACAGGAUAUUAGUGGAACUGUUGCUGUGGUUGUCAGGAAACGCGAGUGCAGCCGCACAGCUACUGCCAGUUAUGCAGCGAGGAUAUCCGGUGGCCGCGAGGUUUUCCAGGGCAGCUACUUCCACGCUGAGAUCUUUACAAAGUGGGCUGACUGACCGUUGUUCACGAAGCCAGAAGCAUGUAUCUGCAUGCACGAGGCUGGAGAAGGAUCCAGGACCACACAGCUGUCUUCUUAGAUAAAUCUGACCCACUCAGCCUUCUCUGGAGGGAUGUUUCAUGCUGACUCAUGAGCAACAGGAAGCCUGGCUGGCCAUUGCUGAUGUGGGGAGAAACAGCCUUUGAGCCUGGGAAGAACGCUGCAGCCCAACAAGACACGCAGAGACAUAACCUGAGGCCACUCCACCACCAACAGUAGCUAGAAGGAACAGUAGGAAGCGUCACAGACUGGAGCUCAGCUCUUAAGAGAGUCCUUGAGACAGUGGGUCGGAGCCAAGGAGCAGAAUCGCAAACAGCUGGAGUGGGAGCCUCAGCCCAUGGCCACUGAGGGAGGGCUGUGAGGGAAGGCAUCACACAGCUGCAUUCCUGAGACAUUUGUAUUUCCAGAAAGCAGUGGGAAAUACAGGACAUGGGAGAAAGAACACUGUCUAGGGCUCAGGGAACUUUGGUUCCCAUUCCCGCUGGCUACAUGACCCCUGUUCCUCCCUAGGGCCCUCAUUCUGUGUGAGCGCUUUAAGCUGGAAGUGGCAUGCUGGGGUUGAAACCUGAAGGGUGGAUAAAUAGCCAAGAAACAUUGGCAGUUAUCAGUGGAUGAGGAAAUAUAUAUGCAGGUUACAGCAGUAGCAGUAUUACUAACUAGCAAUUAAAGGUCUACCCCCCCCUCCUGAGUCUUGCCAAUAGAUAUAAUGGAAUGACUUACCCCACCCAUCCUGAAAUUUUUGCUAUGUAUUAAAGAUUAUUUGAGUC